GGGGUAAAUCUGGGGUAGCAGUUGAGCAAAAUCGCUGAAAUCAAGCUAUAUCAACAUCGUAUUUAGCCUUCCAAGCUAAUAAUGCGGGUUCGAUUCCCGCCGCCCGCU
This 108-nucleotide transfer RNA is filed under the name Phormidium sp. FACHB-592. RNAcentral's name for it is "tRNA-Ser". Lineage: Bacteria; Bacillati; Cyanobacteriota; Cyanophyceae; Oscillatoriales; Oscillatoriaceae. The record is from RNAcentral. RNAcentral also lists the same sequence under 1 other name.